UACGUAGGGGGCAAGCGUUAUCCGGAUUUACUGGGUGUAAAGGGAGCGCAGACGGCAGUGCAAGUCUGGAGUGAAAGCCCGGGGCCCAACCCCGGGACUGCUCUGGAAACUGUACGGCUAGAGUACGGGAGGGGCAGGCGGAAUUCCUAGUGUAGCGGUGAAAUGCGUAGAUAUUAGGAGGAACACCAGUGGCGAAGGCGGCCUGCUGGACGAUGACUGACGUUGAGGCUCGAAAGCGUGGGGAGCAAACAGG
Molecule: ribosomal RNA, 253 nt
Filed under: uncultured bacterium
Lineage: Bacteria
Description: partial 16S ribosomal RNA
Rfam family: Bacterial small subunit ribosomal RNA
Source: RNAcentral